AGUGAACGCUGGCGGUAGGCCUAACACAUGCAAGUCGAACGGCAGCACAGUAAGAGUUUGCUCUUACGGGUGGCGAGUGGCGGACGGGUGAGGAAUACAUCGGAAUCUACUUUUUCGUGGGGGAUAACGUAGGGAAACUUACGCUAAUACCGCAUACGACCUACGGGUGAAAGCAGGGGAUCUUCGGACCUUGCGCGUUUGAAUGAGCCGAUGUCGGAUUAGCUAGUUGGCGGGGUAAAGGCCCACCAAGGCGACGAUCCGUAGCUGGUCUGAGAGGAUGAUCAGCCACACUGGAACUGAGACACGGUCCAGACUCCUACGGGAGGCAGCAGUGGGGAAUAUUGGACAAUGGGCGCAAGCCUGAUCCAGCCAUACCGCGUGGGUGAAGAAGGCCUUCGGGUUGUAAAGCCCUUUUGUUGGGAAAGAAAAGCAGCAGGUUAAUACCCCGCUGUUCUGACGGUACCCAAAGAAUAAGCACCGGCUAACUUCGUG
This 492-nucleotide ribosomal RNA is filed under the name uncultured bacterium. RNAcentral's name for it is "partial 16S ribosomal RNA". It matches the Rfam family "Bacterial small subunit ribosomal RNA", at positions 29 to 507 of the family's 1533-position model. The record is from RNAcentral.